GGUUAAGUUAGAAAGGGCGCACGGUGAAUGCCUUGGCACUAGGAGCCGAUGAAGGACGGGACUAACACCGAUAUGCUUCGGGGAGCUGUAAGUGAGCUUUGAUCCGGAGAUUUCCGAAUGGGGAAACCCACUGUUCGUAAUGGAACAGUAUCUUUAUCUGAAUACAUAGGAUAUUGAAGGCAGACCCGGGGAACUGAAACAUCUAAGUACCCGGAGGAAGAGAAAGCAAAUGCGAUUUCCUGAGUAGCGGCGAGCGAAACGGAAUUAGCCCAAACCAAGAGGCUUGCCUCUUGGGGUUGUAGGACACUCUAUACGGAGUUACAAAGGAACGAAGUAAAUGAAGCGACCUGGAAAGGUCCGUCGAAGAAGGUAACAACCCUGUAGUUGAAACUUCGUUCCCUCUUGAGUGGAUCCUGAGUACGGCGGAACACGUGAAAUUCCGUCGGAAGCUGGGAGGACCAUCUCCCAAGGCUAAAUACUACCUAGUGACCGAUAGUGAACCAGUACCGUGAGGGAAAGGUGAAAAGCACCCCGGAAGGGGAGUGAAAGAGAUCCUGAAACCGUGUGCCUACAAGUAGUCAGAGCCCGUUAACGGGUGAUGGCGUGCCUUUUGUAGAAUGAACCGGCGAGUUACGAUCCCAUGCAAGGUUAAGCUGAUAAGGCGGAGCCGUAGCGAAAGCGAGUCUGAAUAGGGCGUUUAGUAUGUGGUUGUAGACCCGAAACCAGGUGAUCUACCCAUGUCCAGGGUGAAGUUCAGGUAACACUGAAUGGAGGCCCGAACCCACGCACGUUGAAAAGUGCGGGGAUGAGGUGUGGGUAGCGGAGAAAUUCCAAUCGAACCUGGAGAUAGCUGGUUCUCUCCGAAAUAGCUUUAGGGCUAGCCUCAUGUUGUGAGAGUCUUGGAGGUAGAGCACUGAUUGGACUAGGGGCCCCCAACGGGUUACCGAAUUCAGUCAAACUCCGAAUGCCAAAGACUUAUCCAUGGGAGUCAGACUGCGAGUGAUAAGAUCCGUAGUCAAAAGGGAAACAGCCCAGACCACCAGCUAAGGUCCCCAAGUAUACGUUAAGUGGAAAAGGAUGUGGAGUUGCUUAGACAACCAGGAUGUUGGCUUAGAAGCAGCCACCAUUUAAAGAGUGCGUAAUAGCUCACUGGUCGAGUGACUCUGCGCCGAAAAUGUACCGGGGCUAAACGUAUCACCGAAGCUGUGGAUUGACAUCUUUGAUGUCAGUGGUAGGAGAGCGUUCUAAGUGCAGCGAAGUCAGACCGUAAGGACUGGUGGAGCGCUUAGAAGUGAGAAUGCCGGUAUGAGUAGCGAAAGACAAGUGAGAAUCUUGUCCACCGAAUGCCUAAGGUUUCCUGAGGAAGGCUCGUCCGCUCAGGGUUAGUCGGGACCUAAGCCGAGGCUGAAAAGCGUAGGCGAUGGCCAACAGGUUGAUAUUCCUGUACCACCUCCCCGCCGUUUGAGUAAUGGGGGGACGCAGUAGGAUAGGGUAAGCGCGCUGCUGGAUAUGCGCGUUCAAGCAGUUAGGCUGAUGAGUAGGCAAAUCCGCUCAUCAUAAAGGCUGAGCUGUGAUGACGAGGGAAUUAUAGUACCGAAGUUCCUGAUUCCACACUGCCAAGAAAAGCCUCUAGCGAGGCGGGAGGUGCCCGUACCGCAAACCGACACAGGUAGGCGAGGAGAGAAUCCUAAGGUGAUCGAGAGAACUCUCGUUAAGGAACUCGGCAAAAUGACCCCGUAACUUCGGGAGAAGGGGUGCUCUGGUAGGGUGUAUAGCCCGAGAGAGCCGCAGUGAAUAGGCCCAGGCGACUGUUUAGCAAAAACACAGGUCUCUGCGAAGCCGCAAGGCGAAGUAUAGGGGCUGACGCCUGCCCGGUGCUGGAAGGUUAAGAGGAGGGGUUAUCCUUUGGGAGAAGCUCUGAAUCGAAGCCCCAGUAAACGGCGGCCGUAACUAUAACGGUCCUAAGGUAGCGAAAUUCCUUGUCGGGUAAGUUCCGACCCGCACGAAAGGCGUAACGAUCUGGGCACUGUCUCAACGAGAGACUCGGUGAAAUUAUAGUACCUGUGAAGAUGCAGGUUACCCGCGACAGGACGGAAAGACCCCGUGGAGCUUUACUGUAGCCUGAUAUUGAAUUUUGGUACAGCUUGUACAGGAUAGGUAGGAGCCUGAGAAGCCGGAGCGCUAGCUUCGGUGGAGGCGUCGGUGGGAUACUACCCUGGCUGUAUUGAAAUUCUAACCCGCGGCCCUGAUCGGGCCGGGAGACAGUGUCAGGUGGGCAGUUUGACUGGGGCGGUCGCCUCCUAAAAUGUAACGGAGGCGCCCAAAGGUUCCCUCAGAAUGGUUGGAAAUCAUUCGUAGAGUGUAAAGGCACAAGGGAGCUUGACUGCGAGACCUACAAGUCGAGCAGGGACGAAAGUCGGGCUUAGUGAUCCGGUGGUUCCGCAUGGAAGGGCCAUCGCUCAACGGAUAAAAGCUACCCCGGGGAUAACAGGCUUAUCUCCCCCAAGAGUCCACAUCGACGGGGAGGUUUGGCACCUCGAUGUCGGCUCAUCGCAUCCUGGGGCUGUAGUCGGUCCCAAGGGUUGGGCUGUUCGCCCAUUAAAGCGGUACGCGAGCUGGGUUCAGAACGUCGUGAGACAGUUCGGUCCCUAUCCGUCGUGGGCGUAGGAAAUUUGAGAGGAGCUGUCCUUAGUACGAGAGGACCGGGAUGGACACACCGCUGGUGUACCAGUUGUCUUGCCAAAGGCAUCGCUGGGUAGCUAUGUGUGGACGGGAUAAGUGCUGAAAGCAUCUAAGCAUGAAGCCCCCCUCAAGAUGAGAUUUCCCAUAGCGCAAGCUAGUAAGAUCCCUGAAAGAUGAUCAGGUUGAUAGGUCAGAGGUGGAAGCAUGGCGACAUGUGUAGCUGACUGAUACUAAUCGAUCGAGGACUUAACCAA
RNAcentral lists this ribosomal RNA (2936 nucleotides) under Priestia megaterium. RNAcentral describes it as "23S ribosomal RNA". It matches the Rfam family "Bacterial large subunit ribosomal RNA". The record is from RNAcentral. Lineage: Bacteria; Bacillati; Bacillota; Bacilli; Caryophanales; Bacillaceae.